GCGAGCGGUGUAAGGCACGCCUCCCAGCGAACGGUCCCAGAGAGGAUUUCCAGCCCUGACCCUUCUGUGUUCCCUCCCAACCUCCCUCUCCCACCUCCUAGACCUGUCAGUUCCUCUGCUCCUCUUCCGCUGGUUCCGUCCAGCCCUGACCCUCCUGUUACUCCGCUGAUUCCGUCCAGCCCUGAUCCUCCUGUUUCUCCGCUGGUUCCGCCCAGCCCUGACCCUCCUGUUUUGCCGCUGGUUCCGUCCUGCCCUGACCCUCCUGUGUUCCCUCCCAUCCUCCCUCUCUCAUCUCCUCCUAUACCAGCCAGUUCCUCGACCUCAUCUCCGCUGGUGCCAGUCAGUCCCACAGCUCACCCUCAGUCCGCGCCAUCUGGGCGUGAUGGUUCGCCGCAGGACUUCCAGUCUCCAGCUCUGCCUUGGCAUGUGGAUUCCCUGUCUCCACCUCCAGCCUUCGAGCCCUGGACUCCUCCUCGGUCCUUCGACCCAGCGGCUCCGCCUUGGCUCUUAGCUCCCUCGUCUCCGCCGUGGCCCAGUAUCCCACCUGCUCCACCGGGCUCCCUCGUCCCUCCGGCUCCACCUUGGUCAGUCGUCGACCAUCCACCGCCUUGGGACUCCAUUCCUCUGGCUUCGCCUCAUCACUCCAUCCCUUCGGCUCUGUCAGGCUCCUCCUUCCCUCCGGCUCCACCUCCAUCCUCAGUCACUCCAACUCCGCAGCGGUCUUCCAGGGCCCCACCUCCGCCUUGGUCGCCUGAGCCCUCUGCUCCGCCUUGGCCCUCCGGAUCCUCGGCUUCACCCUGGCUCUGCGGCUGCUCUGCUCCAUCUUGGGCUCCUCAUCCAUCGGCUCAGUCUCCGUCAGGCGGCCCCCUGGUGUUGUCGGCUCCUCCUCCACCAUUGCUCCUCCCACCGUUGACUCCACCAUGGGCCGCUAUCCUGGCUGACCUCUGGAAAUCCAUCUGGCUCCUCCUGCUCCAGGCUCCUCCCUGGCUCCUCCCUCCAUCCAUUCCAACCUGGUUCCAUGCUCCUUCUCCAUUGCCUGCCCCUUGCCUGCCCCACGCCCACCUCCUGAACCCCCACCCUCCCUCCGCUGGACUAUCUCUUUCAGUGUGA
Molecule: long non-coding RNA, 1110 nt
Organism: Cyprinus carpio (common carp)
Lineage: Eukaryota; Metazoa; Chordata; Actinopteri; Cypriniformes; Cyprinidae
Source: Ensembl